RNAcentral lists this ribosomal RNA (247 nucleotides) under uncultured bacterium. RNAcentral's name for it is "partial 16S ribosomal RNA". It matches the Rfam family "Bacterial small subunit ribosomal RNA", at positions 523 to 769 of the family's 1533-position model. The record is from RNAcentral.
AAACGUAGGAGGCGAGCGUUAUCCGGAUUUACUGGGCGUAAAGCGCAUGCAGGUGGUCUCGCAAGUUGGAUGUGAAAGCUCCUGGCUUAACUGGGAGAGGUCGUUCAAAACUGCGGGACUAGAGAGUGGUAGAGGGAGGUGGAAUUCCGGGUGUAGUGGUGAAAUGCGUAGAUAUCCGGAGGAACACCAGUGGCGAAAGCGGCCUCCUGGACCACUUCUGACACUCAGAUGCGAAAGCUAAGGUAGC